UGGGGACACUGGAGUGAGAGUGCAAGUGAUUGUUAGAGAACAACAUACAUUGAGCGUGAUCAACUCGAGAAACCACUUGGAUGUCUACUCACUCAUCAGUAAUUUUUUCAAUACUACAGAGGUGUAACUGGUCCUUUGAUUUAUGUUAUAUUGGCUAUUUGUAGCAAAGCUACUUAAUUUGAAUGUACGUUUCCUUAGUCUCUAGCCAUUCAGAUCUUUGCUGUGUAUGUUGACCAUAGUAAGUUCAGAUUCACUGUUUGAAUAGGAUGCACCUAGAUGGAAUCUAUCGAUCUUGAUAGAAAAGGAGUAGUCCUAUAUGAUUCAUGAGACUGUGUUCAGGAAGUCUCUCGUCAAAGCAAGUAUGAAUACUGAAAAAGAAUUUUCAUAAAAUUCACAAAUGAACUCGAGUUGAGCCAAUCUGGCAUAUAAUUAAUGAUGGGGUUUGACGAGUUCUCUAUGACCCCCAUCUAGUCGAAACUCACGAUAAAAGGACUGUAUCACACGAUAAUUGCACCUAGAGGUUCAUUCUUCUAUUCUACUGAGUUGUCAUUACAUGCUGCUAGACGUCACUAGUAGAUUGUGAGAACUCACUAAGAUUAUUUUUCAGAUCAAUGAUUCUUGUUGGGAUGAGUUGGAACCGUUCCAGCCCAUCAAAAAAUUUUUCGAUGUUACUAUGAUGGAGAUCAUGGUAUGUCUCACUACC
RNAcentral lists this long non-coding RNA (703 nucleotides) under Elaeis guineensis (African oil palm). Its description in RNAcentral is "long non-coding RNA (EGUI_LNC012961)". Lineage: Eukaryota; Viridiplantae; Streptophyta; Magnoliopsida; Arecales; Arecaceae. The record is from RNAcentral.